Molecule: long non-coding RNA, 666 nt
Organism: Amphimedon queenslandica
Lineage: Eukaryota; Metazoa; Porifera; Demospongiae; Haplosclerida; Niphatidae
Exons: 4
Source: RefSeq, a predicted model, not a curated record
UCAGACUCAGCCUAUCACUAGAAGUAUCACAAGGAAGAUCAUAAUCAUUAGUCUCUAACUCUGUGAAAUCAACUGACACUAGAUCUGGCUCAUCUAUAGAAAUUUCAGGUAGUAAAUUUUGUGUGCAGCUGCCAUUAACACAACUGAUGAUUUAUGACAAGCAGUACUUGCUUAUUUAUAGAUCUAUACAUGAGGCAAGAAAGAAAGGAGAGAUGCUUGACGCUUGGUUGCCAUUGCAAGAAAUGAUUACAAAAUUAACAUUCAAAAUAUUCAUGAAAAGUUAAUUUUAAUAACAAUAAUAAUUAAUUUUAAUGAUUAUUAUGACUUCCUUUUCCUGUCAAAACUUUAGGGUGGGCAUUGCCCCUUAAUGCCCACCCCUGGAACCGCCUAUGUUUGUUGCCCUUCCUUUUUUGCUGUACAAUCAGUUAACUUCUUUUCUCAAUCGUUCUGAUGUACAUGAAGAUCUUGGAGUUGGUACACACCAAUGGCAAAUGUGUAGUGAACUGGUUGAAAAGAAUCUCAUUAAUGAUGAAGUUUUGAGCUUCAAGUCUGCCCUUUCAAUGGUUUUACAAGAAAAGAAAAGAGUGUUGAUAUACAGUGGGAAAUGGGACUAUGUCUGCAAUUACUUUGGAGGAAGAGCAUGGGCUAAACUAGUGGAAUGGGAAG